RNAcentral lists this ribosomal RNA (2264 nucleotides) under Salmonella enterica subsp. enterica serovar Liverpool. RNAcentral describes it as "partial 23S ribosomal RNA". It matches the Rfam family "Bacterial large subunit ribosomal RNA", at positions 636 to 2802 of the family's 2925-position model. The record is from RNAcentral. Lineage: Bacteria; Pseudomonadati; Pseudomonadota; Gammaproteobacteria; Enterobacterales; Enterobacteriaceae.
UGUAGCAAGGUUAACCGAAUAGGGGAGCCGGAGGGAAACCGAGUCUUAAUUGGGCGUUAAGUUGCAGGGUAUAGACCCGAAACCCGGUGAUCUAGCCAUGGGCAGGUUGAAGGUUGGGUAACACUAACUGGAGGACCGAACCGACUAAUGUUGAAAAAUUAGCGGAUGACCUGUGGCUGGGGGUGAAAGGCCAAUCAAACCGGGAGAUAGCUGGUUCUCCCCGAAAGCUAUUUAGGUAGCGCCUCGUGAAUUCAUCUCCGGGGGUAGAGCACUGUUUCGGCUAGGGGGCCAUCCCGGCUUACCAACCCGAUGCAAACUGCGAAUACCGGAGAAUGUUAUCACGGGAGACACACGGCGGGUGCUAACGUCCGUCGUGAAGAGGGAAACAACCCAGACCGCCAGCUAAGGUCCCAAAGUCAUGGUUAAGUGGGAAACGAUGUGGGAAGGCCCAGACAGCCAGGAUGUUGGCUUAGAAGCAGCCAUCAUUUAAAGAAAGCGUAAUAGCUCACUGGUCGAGUCGGCCUGCGCGGAAGAUGUAACGGGGCUAAACCAUGCACCGAAGCUGCGGCAGCGAACGUAUCACUUAAAGCGAUUCAGCGGGUUACGAUUGACGGAGCGAAGCGACGUCAAAGCGUAUACAAAGUCGAGUCGGUUUAAGGAUACGUUCGUUGGGUAGGGGAGCGUUCUGUAAGCCUGUGAAGGUGGCCUGUGAGGGUUGCUGGAGGUAUCAGAAGUGCGAAUGCUGACAUAAGUAACGAUAAAGCGGGUGAAAAGCCCGCUCGCCGGAAGACCAAGGGUUCCUGUCCAACGUUAAUCGGGGCAGGGUGAGUCGACCCCUAAGGCGAGGCCGAAAGGCGUAGUCGAUGGGAAACGGGUUAAUAUUCCCGUACUUGGUGUUACUGCGAAGGGGGGACGGAGAAGGCUAUGUUGGCCGGGCGACGGUUGUCCCGGUUUAAGCGUGUAGGUGUGUGUUCCAGGUAAAUCCGGUUCACUUUAACACUGAGGCGUGACGACGAGGCACUACGGUGCUGAAGCAACAAAUGCCCUGCUUCCAGGAAAAGCCUCUAAGCAUCAGGUAACAUCAAAUCGUACCCCAAACCGACACAGGUGGUCAGGUAGAGAAUACCAAGGCGCUUGAGAGAACUCGGGUGAAGGAACUAGGCAAAAUGGUGCCGUAACUUCGGGAGAAGGCACGCUGACACGUAGGUGAAGUGAUUUACUCACGGAGCUGAAGUCAGUCGAAGAUACCAGCUGGCUGCAACUGUUUAUUAAAAACACAGCACUGUGCAAACACGAAAGUGGACGUAUACGGUGUGACGCCUGCCCGGUGCCGGAAGGUUAAUUGAUGGGGUCAGCGCAAGCGAAGCUCCUGAUCGAAGCCCCGGUAAACGGCGGCCGUAACUAUAACGGUCCUAAGGUAGCGAAAUUCCUUGUCGGGUAAGUUCCGACCUGCACGAAUGGCGUAAUGAUGGCCAGGCUGUCUCCACCCGAGACUCAGUGAAAUUGAACUCGCUGUGAAGAUGCAGUGUACCCGCGGCAAGACGGAAAGACCCCGUGAACCUUUACUAUAGCUUGACACUGAACAUUGAGCCUUGAUGUGUAGGAUAGGUGGGAGGCUUUGAAGCGUGGACGCCAGUCUGCGUGGAGCCGACCUUGAAAUACCACCCUUUAAUGUUUGAUGUUCUAACGUGGACCCGUAAUCCGGGUUGCGGACAGUGUCUGGUGGGUAGUUUGACUGGGGCGGUCUCCUCCUAAAGAGUAACGGAGGAGCACGAAGGUUGGCUAAUCCUGGUCGGACAUCAGGAGGUUAGUGCAAUGGCAUAAGCCAGCUUGACUGCGAGCGUGACGGCGCGAGCAGGUGCGAAAGCAGGUCAUAGUGAUCCGGUGGUUCUGAAUGGAAGGGCCAUCGCUCAACGGAUAAAAGGUACUCCGGGGAUAACAGGCUGAUACCGCCCAAGAGUUCAUAUCGACGGCGGUGUUUGGCACCUCGAUGUCGGCUCAUCACAUCCUGGGGCUGAAGUAGGUCCCAAGGGUAUGGCUGUUCGCCAUUUAAAGUGGUACGCGAGCUGGGUUUAGAACGUCGUGAGACAGUUCGGUCCCUAUCUGCCGUGGGCGCUGGAGAACUGAGGGGGGCUGCUCCUAGUACGAGAGGACCGGAGUGGACGCAUCACUGGUGUUCGGGUUGUCAUGCCAAUGGCACUGCCCGGUAGCUAAAUGCGGAAGAGAUAAGUGCUGAAAGCAUCUAAGCACGAAACUUGCCCCGA